RNAcentral lists this long non-coding RNA (627 nucleotides) under Fukomys damarensis (Damara mole-rat). RNAcentral's name for it is "lncRNA (ENSFDAG00000022893.1)". The record is from RNAcentral. Lineage: Eukaryota; Metazoa; Chordata; Mammalia; Rodentia; Bathyergidae.
GGGGGAAACGACUUGGUGAUACUGAUAGGGAAGGUUAAGAAUAUCAGUUCCCAAAACUACUUUUUUCUUUUUAAGGAUUUAUAUGAUUGUCACUGCCACUUACAGUGUCUGAGUGAAAGGGCCUCCUCCCCACCUGUACACGCCCACCUCACCUGCUCCCAGCAACCACUCAGGGCUGAGCAGGUUUCCCGAAAGCCAGGACUCUAGCCUCAGGCAACAGGCUCCAGGUGAACAGCACAAAGUGCUGGCUGACCACAAACACAACUUGCCUGACUGGCUGGCUCGGGUACAGGCACUGUUGUCCUGGAUUCCUUGAAGCAAGGUCACAUGCUUUCUCCUUGGUACCACUUGGUGCCAUGCUUUCCCCUCGUACACACCUGAUUACAGCAAUAAUCACAGACUGCAGCAAUUAAUACUCCGUAUCUGUUUCCUGACUAGAUAGCGAGGCAGUAUAGGGCAGGGGUUCAAAAUCCAACAGUGUCUGAUAGAACAAGUACACUCAACAUUUUUCACAUAGAUAACAGUAUCACUGAAGAAGAGAAUUCUACUAGGGCUAUAAAAACCACAAAGCAUUACAUUAAACAAAUUGUUCUGAAAAAGUAAAUCAUUCCAUUCCUUCAGCAAGCG